Long non-coding RNA from Micropterus salmoides (largemouth bass), 3293 nucleotides. RefSeq lists it as uncharacterized. Lineage: Eukaryota; Metazoa; Chordata; Actinopteri; Centrarchiformes; Centrarchidae. The transcript is spliced from 6 exons. The record is from RefSeq and is a predicted model, not a curated record.
AAAUAGAAUUUAUAUAUCAUUUAAUUUGAGUCUUCACGAAAGAAGCAAAGUUGAGUUGACCACAAACGUCAGUUUGGAACAUUUUAUAUGCGAGACGUCAGGAGUCUCUUCAUCAUUUAUUUAUUUAGCUGUGACUUACAGUUGCUACAUGUGUCGCACGCGUCUUGCGCACCGCACACCUCAAACCCGGGUCUCCUACAGCACAGGCAUGUGUCAUAUCCACUGCACCACCUGUUAACAUAAAGAUAUCGAUCACAUCAGCUUUGAGGGAAAGAGCCGAUGAAAGUUUUCAGAGUGUGGUGAAGCGAGGCGAGGGCUGCAGGAAGUGGUCGGUCAGCCGUCACGCCGCCGAGGAGCUGCAGCUUCACACCAGCCACUCCUCCCGCUGCAGACGUCAUGAAGCCUUCUUCAUCUUCAUCGUCCUCUUCCUCGGUGACAGCUGCACCAGAAACUCCGCGUCCCUCUUUUUCAUCUCGCCCUCCUCGUCAAAGUCUGCAAAGUCCAGAGUUGCAAGCAGAGUUUCUGCAAGAGUUUCGGAACAAAUCCCGGUUUCACAGAGACGUCGGUGAAUCCAGUGCCGUCUCCUCUCCCCCCUCCUCUCCUCUGCCCUCCCCCCCUCAGUUCCACCCCGCUCUCCUCCCCCUGCAGCUCCUCAGCCUCCUCCUCCUCCUCCCCUCCAGGCUACGACAAGAGACAAGCUCGUUUGUCGCUGUCCAGCCCUGAGCUCCUGUCAGAGCUGAAACACUCGAGGACACGCUCCCUGCGACAUGUCCCCGAACACAACGGCCUGACCACCGUCUUCUCUGGACGGGGAAGAGGAGGAGGAGGAGGAGGAGGAGGAGGAAGAAGAGGAAGAGGACGACAGGCCUCCGGCCCCACCCCGACCGCACGACCAGCCAAUCAGAUGACUUCGCACUGAUCAUCAGCAGCACCCGACCCUGUACCAGACUACUGGACCUGAAUCCAUCAUGGACUUGGCUAUCCUAUAACCAAUCAUGCAUUAUUUACCAUCAAAUGAAUAUUUGAACAAUAAGUCCUUGAUUUCAGAGAGAAGUAAAUAAAAAGAACUUUUGCUCCCAUAUGUUUGUUUUUGAAAGACUAAAACAAGACCCGAGCCUCCAAACUCAGAGGAGGGUUUAGCGGACAGUUAAUUAUCUCAUGUUAACACCUCACGACAAAGUAUCUUAGGGAUGGCGCCCGAUUCUGACUCAAAUAGCUGAAUCGGUUAUUGGUGAUAACGAGCUGAUCUAUGGGUCGAUCCAUUCACUUCCAUUAUGCACGUACUACGCAUGCGUCGGUAGACUGGAACAUUUUGCUAAAAUAGCAUUUUCAGGAAAAUGUUUAUAACGUAUAACUUCUGAAGAAGCUAGCUCGGUAUGGAUAUCGUGGCAGAGGCAGUGAAGUAACAGGAGAAGACGAAGUUGGAGGAAGCGAAGAAGAGAUAAAGAGAGAGUGACGGAGCGAAAGACCGGACAGAGUGAAUAUCAGACUGGCUUUUACUGGUUGAGCUUAAAGAGCUGUUAGGAUGCAGGACAGACGCCGAGCUGGCCUUCUUUCUGUUGUCAGUAAUAACUUGUUAGCUGCUCGCUGUGUCCAGAAGUGUUGUGCUUGCUUGAUGUUUGGCUGUUGGCAAAGUAAAUCAGCCGGAGGUUACACAGACAGAGGUUUAGCCUCUAGCUACAAAUCUUUAGUUGAUGUAACCCACUAGAUAACACACUCGGACGUCUGUAACGUUACUGUAAGUGCUCCUGCGUCCUGCUGUUUCUCGGCUAGCUCGCCACUCAAGUUUCAAGCAGCAGCAACAUUAUUCUGCUGCUGGUGGAGAGCAGCGCCGGGGUAGAACAAGAGCUGGGCAAGCGGGCAACGUAACUUUGGGAGAGGUGGAAAGACCGAAAAAAGGAUGUUGACGGAGGUAGCUAAGAAGAUAAAAAGAGAGUGGCGAGAGUUUCCCGCGAGACAAACGUAGAGCUGGCAGUCUUUCUGUGUACACAGUCUGACUUUUCACUAAUAUUGCUGUGUCUUGUGUUUUCGCACUUGCUCGAUGUUUGGCUGUGUUAGCAGUAACGUAAUCAUAACCAAUGCACCUGUGCGCAUAUUCAUGACAGCGGUGAAUCUUACUGUGUGGUGUCCAAAAUCACUACUCACUAUAUAUACUGGACUAUUCAUAGAGAGCUCGCCAUUUUAUAGGGCUGUCCGAAUAUAUAGUGAGAAUGAUCAUACCCUAUACAGUCCACUCAAAGCAUCCCAGAAUGCAUUUUGAAAAGUAAUGUAAAACCAUCAUGCAUUGCUCUGAUAGAAAAAACAGUCCACCAACUGAUUGUCCGACGGGAAUGACGUAAUUAACAGUGCUGAAAUACUGACGGGAGUAGUGCCUAAAAGUGUUGUUUGCAUUAUGCGGGUUGUUGAGAAUUAUUUUAGAGCAUUACAGCCUAAAUUGUUAUAAUAUUCACUAGAGUGAAGGUGUUCUGCAUUGUCAUCAUUUAAAGUAUUAUUUUAUAGUGUAAAGUUAAGAUCACAGUGUUAAGACUCUAUAGCUCUGAGUGUGUGUGUGUGACAGCAAGGCAUCAUCGAAAACACCAGCAAAGGAAAAUGUAGAAGCAGAAUUAGUGAAAAUUGUGUUACAAAAUGUACAUAAAUACAGUAAGAAUGUCCUGUCUAUAGCGAACAGUACAAGAGACACCAGCUUAUUCCACAAAGUCAGGGUUUUGAGUCAUCAGUGAUUAUCUCUAAUCAGUAUUAAUAUCAUUCUUAAUAAUCAUUCUUAAUCAUUUUUAUUAGUAUUCAUCAUUAAUCAUUACUGAUUAUAAGUAUAAUCAUAUCAGUAUAAGUAAUAUAUAAUAAUAUAAGUACUGAGCUUUGUUCUGCUGUUAUCUACUGUUGUUAUGACUACAUGAGGAACUGUUGAUGUGUUAGUCUGCUGAUAUUAAGACUACGUGCUUAAUUACUGAUUAAGAGGUCGAUUGUCAACUUCCAACCUCUGGUUGUUAUAGACUGCGUGAACUUUGAAUGAACUUGCUGAAGGAAUUUUUGCUUGGCAGAAAAGCGACACAGGGUUGCUGAAAUCACGUCAGAUAUAAAGAUAUAGAAAGUCAACAAUACAGUAAUAAAUGACAGCUGGGGAACAGUGUUAAUUGGUAAAAACAAAGAAGUUCAUCAUAAGGAAGGAGCAAACCAGCCCAGAGGGGAUAUAUUAGACUGUCUGCAGACCGGAGGAUUGACUCCAUCCUCUGACCUGCUGGGAUGUUGUACGGGUUUAUCUGUCCUGUUUUGGAAUAAACUCUUUUGCGCCGACU